RNAcentral lists this ribosomal RNA (485 nucleotides) under uncultured bacterium. RNAcentral's name for it is "SSU rRNA". It matches the Rfam family "Bacterial small subunit ribosomal RNA", at positions 26 to 521 of the family's 1533-position model. The record is from RNAcentral.
AGAACGAACGUUGGCGGCGUGGAUUAGGCAUGCAAGUCGAAUGAAUCCAAUCUGGGUAACUGGGUGGGGGAAAUGGCGAAAGGGGCAGUAAGGCAUGGGCAACCUACCCCGGGGACGGGGAUAGCUCUUCUAACGAGGAGAUAAUACCUGGCGAUUCAGCGGGAAGGCAUCUUUCUGCUGGGAAACGAGUUUCGCCUCGGGAGGGGCUCAUGUAGUAUUAGCUAGUUGGUAAGGUAACGGCUUACCAAGGCGAAGAUGCUUAGCGGGUGUGAGAGCACGACCCGCGCCACUGGCACUGAGACACUGGCCAGACUCCUACGGGAGGCUGCAGUCGAGGAUCUUCGGCAAUGGGCGCAAGCCUGACCGAGCGACGCCGCGUGUGCGAAGAAGGCCUUCGGGUGUAAGCACUGUCGAGGGAAGAAAGACCGUAAGGUUGAUCGACCCUGGAGGAAGCGACGGGCUAAGUUCGCGCCAGCAGCCGCGGU